AAAAAAUUAGUUUAUUUCGUAAAAUAUUAGAUUGUAAGUCUAAAGAAUUUUUCGUUUUG
Molecule: transfer RNA, 59 nt
Filed under: Pseudoterranova decipiens sensu lato Germany
Lineage: Eukaryota; Metazoa; Nematoda; Chromadorea; Rhabditida; Anisakidae
Description: tRNA-Tyr
Source: RNAcentral